RNAcentral lists this ribosomal RNA (449 nucleotides) under uncultured bacterium. RNAcentral's name for it is "partial 16S ribosomal RNA". It matches the Rfam family "Bacterial small subunit ribosomal RNA", at positions 29 to 523 of the family's 1533-position model. The record is from RNAcentral.
AAUGAACGCUGGCGGCAUGCCUAACACAUGCAAGUCGAACGAAGCCUUCGGGCUUAGUGGCGCACGGGUGCGUAACGCGUGGGAAUCUGCCCUUGGGUUCGGAAUAACUCUCCGAAAGGAGUGCUAAUACCGGAUGAUGUCGAAAGACCAAAGAUUUAUCGCCCAGGGAUGAGCCCGCGUAGGAUUAGCUAGUUGGUGAGGUAAAAGCUCACCAAGGCGACGAUCCUUAGCUGGUCUGAGAGGAUGAUCAGCCACACUGGGACUGAGACAUGGCCCAGACUCCUACGGGAGGCAGCAGUGGGGAAUAUUGGACAAUGGGCGAAAGCCUGAUCCAGCAAUGCCGCGUGAGUGAUGAAGGCCUUAGGGUUGUAAAGCUCUUUUACCCGGGAUGAUAAUGACAGUACCGGGAGAAUAAGCCCCGGCUAACUCCGUGCCAGCAGCCGCCGCGG